RNAcentral lists this microRNA precursor (78 nucleotides) under Schistosoma mansoni. Its description in RNAcentral is "mir-3492 microRNA precursor family". It matches the Rfam family "mir-3492 microRNA precursor family". Lineage: Eukaryota; Metazoa; Platyhelminthes; Trematoda; Strigeidida; Schistosomatidae. The record is from Rfam by way of RNAcentral.
AGCCUUCUAUAUCCCUGCUGAGAUUUCGUCACACACCAGACCACAAGGGCUAAUGAGACUCCUAAAAUACUACCAACG